GACGAACGCUGGCGGCGUGCUUAACACAUGCAAGUCGAACGGAAAGGCCCUGCUUUUGUGGGGUGCUCGAGUGGCGAACGGGUGAGUAACACGUGAGUAACCUGCCCUUGACUUUGGGAUAACUUCAGGAAACUGGGGCUAAUACCGGAUAGGAGCUCCUGCUGCAUGGUGGGGGUUGGAAAGGUUCGGCGGUUGGGGAUGGACUCGCGGCUUAUCAGCUUGUUGGUGGGGUAGUGGCUUACCAAGGCUUUGACGGGUAGCCGGCCUGAGAGGGUGACCGGCCACAUUGGGACUGAGAUACGGCCCAGACUCCUACGGGAGGCAGCAGUGGGGAAUAUCGCACAAUGGGCGGAAGCCUGAUGCAGCAACGCCGCGUGGGGGAUGACGGCCUUCGGGUUGUAAACCGCUUUCGCCUGUGACGAAGCGUGAGUGACGGUAAUGGGUAAAGAAGCACCGGCUAACUACGUG
RNAcentral lists this ribosomal RNA (468 nucleotides) under uncultured bacterium. RNAcentral's name for it is "partial 16S ribosomal RNA". It matches the Rfam family "Bacterial small subunit ribosomal RNA", at positions 28 to 507 of the family's 1533-position model. The record is from RNAcentral.